CGGCUUCGGCCUGCUGCGGCGAGAUCAUGUGCACGUGGGCAUCGAUGCCGCCGGCAGUCAGGAUCAGGUGCUCGCCGGAAAUGGCGUCGGUUGCCGGGCCGACGGCCAGCGACGGCGUGACGCCGGGCAUGGUCGAGGGAUUGCCGGCCUUGCCGAUGCCGCAGAUGCGGCCGUCCUUGAUGCCGACGUCGGCCUUGAUGACGCCAAGCACGGCGUCGAUGAUGGUGACGUUGGUGAUCAGCAGGUCCGGCGCGCCGCCGAUGCUGGUCAGCUCGUUGUCCAUCCCCAUGCCGUCACGCAG
Small RNA from Laribacter hongkongensis HLHK9, 301 nucleotides. It matches the Rfam family "5' ureB small RNA". The record is from Rfam. NCBI's taxonomy places the organism in Bacteria, Pseudomonadati, Pseudomonadota, Betaproteobacteria, Neisseriales, Aquaspirillaceae.